This 253-nucleotide ribosomal RNA is filed under the name uncultured bacterium. Its description in RNAcentral is "partial 16S ribosomal RNA". It matches the Rfam family "Bacterial small subunit ribosomal RNA", at positions 524 to 776 of the family's 1533-position model. The record is from RNAcentral.
UACGUAGGGGGCUAGCGUUGUCCGGAAUCAUUGGGCGUAAAGCGCGCGUAGGCGGCCCGGUAAGUCCGUUGUGAAAGUCAAAGGCUCAACCUUUGAAAGCCGAUGGAUACUGCCGGGCUGGAGUCCGGAAGAGGCGAGUGGAAUUCCUGGUGUAGCGGUGGAAUGCGCAGAUAUCAGGAGGAACACCAAUAGCGAAGGCAGCUCGCUGGGACGGUACUGACGCUGAGGCGCGAAAGUGUGGGGAGCGAACAGG